This 500-nucleotide ribosomal RNA is filed under the name uncultured Myrionecta. RNAcentral's name for it is "SSU rRNA". It matches the Rfam family "Eukaryotic small subunit ribosomal RNA", at positions 39 to 597 of the family's 1831-position model. Lineage: Eukaryota; Ciliophora; Litostomatea; Cyclotrichida; Mesodiniidae. The record is from RNAcentral.
ACGGGUCUCGAUAAGCCAGGCACGUCUAAGUACAAACUAAAUGAUGGUGAAACUGCAAAUAGCUCAUUACAACGGUUAUGAUGUACCCGGGAGUUCCGAUGGAUAUUUCCAGUAACACUAGAACUAAUACAUGUCCCUGCGUUUAUUAGUUUCGCACAGUCCGUCGCUGAGUCAUGGUAAACAGUUGAUCGACUCGACGUCCCGGAACAGUUUCCGCCCCAUCAGCUUCGAUGGUUGGGUAUUGGCCUACCAUUGCAACAACGGGUAACGAGGAAUUAGGGUUUGAUUUCGGAGAGGGAGCCUGAGAAACGGCUACCACAUCUACGGAUGGCAGCAGGCGCGCAAAUUACCCAAUGCAGACACUGUGAGGUAGUGACGAGAAAUAAUAAAGCGGGACUUCUGUUUCGCUAUUAUAAUGAGGAAUAACCAAAGGUCAUUCCGAUUAGCAACUGAUGGGAAAGUCUGGGUGCCAGCAGCCGCGGUAAUACCAGCGUCAGUAG